This 461-nucleotide ribosomal RNA is filed under the name uncultured bacterium. RNAcentral's name for it is "partial 16S ribosomal RNA". It matches the Rfam family "Bacterial small subunit ribosomal RNA", at positions 28 to 506 of the family's 1533-position model. The record is from RNAcentral.
GACGAACGCUGGCGGCGUGCUUAACACAUGCAAGUCGAGCGGAAAGGCCCUUCGGGGUACUCGAGCGGCGAACGGGUGCGUAACACGUGAGUAACCUGCCCCAGACUUUGGGAUAACCCUCGGAAACGGGGGCUAAUACCGGAUACGACACAGCUUCGCAUGGGGUCUGUGUGGAAAGUUUUUCGGUUUGGGAUGGGCUCGCGGCCUAUCGGCUUGUUGGUGGGGUGAUGGCCUACCAAGGCGACGACGGGUAGCCGGCCUGAGGGGGCGACCGGCCACACUGGGACUGAGACACGGCCCAGACUCCUACGGGAGGCAGCAGUGGGGAAUAUUGCACAAUGGGCGGAGGCCUGAUGCAGCGACGCCGCGUGGGGGAUGACGGCCUUCGGGUUGUAAACCUCUUUCAGCAGGGACGAGGCGUAAGUGACGGUACCUGCAGAAGAAGCGCCGGCCAACUACGU